UGCCUUUUGCAUYAUGCUCAUAUGAAACAAUGAAUAAUUAAUUCUUUAACCGAAAGCUCCGGAUUUCUUUUAUUAUUGCUUAGUGAGUAAGCCGGGUAGGCGUUAUUAAAUAAUAAAGGUGUGGUGAAAAAUUAAUCGUCGGUGUUGAUAACUGUUUAACAACUUUAAAUUUUUAAUUAUUUAUCUGGUUACGAGAUCAGAUAAAUGUAUAUAUUUACUUUCAUUUUGGUAUUACGAUAGGGUUAAAAGUACCCAAUUGUGUGAACAUUGUUCAAAAGUAUCUUGUUCUUGUUAUAAAUUAUGUGUAUUAGUUGUUUUUUUUAACUUUUAGAUUUUAUUUAUAUUUGAAUAAGUAAUGUUAAAAGUUUAAUUAUUUCUCAAGUGUUGCCCGUCUGUUUAUUAAAAACAUUUCCAUAUAAAAGUAUUUAUGGUAGUGCCUGCUCUAUGUAUUAAAGUAUAAAUGGCCGCAGUAUCUUGACUGUGCAAAGGUAGCAUAAUUAAUUGCCUUAUAAUUGAAGGCUUGUCUGAAUGGUUUGACGUGGUAACUACAAAUAUUUAUUUUUUUAUUGAAAUUGAUUAGGAGGGCACAGAAUCCUUCUUUUUUAAUUAGACGGAAAGACCCCAGGAUCUUUUAUUUUUGUCUGGGGCAGAUGAAAAUCUUUUAUUUUUAUUUUGACCCUCUUUGGUUCAGUGAGUUAAGUUACCCUGGGGAUAACAGUGUAAUAGUUUAUAAGAGGCCUUAUCGAAUAAACUGUUUGCUACCUCGAUGUUGACUUAGGUAAAUAAGCUGGGCGCAGUAGUCUAGCUUUUUGGUCUGUUCGACCUAAAAUACCUCCAUGAGUUGAGUUAAGACCGGCGUGAGCCAGGUCGGUUCUUAUCUAUU
Molecule: ribosomal RNA, 883 nt
Filed under: Scholzia emarginatum
Lineage: Eukaryota; Metazoa; Platyhelminthes; Cestoda; Proteocephalidea; Proteocephalidae
Description: partial 16S ribosomal RNA
Rfam family: Bacterial large subunit ribosomal RNA (bases 581-883)
Source: RNAcentral